Molecule: ribosomal RNA, 475 nt
Filed under: uncultured bacterium
Lineage: Bacteria
Description: bacterial SSU rRNA
Rfam family: Bacterial small subunit ribosomal RNA
Source: RNAcentral
CGCUAGGACGAACGCUGGCGGCAUGCCUAACACAUGCAAGUCGAACGGGGGGUAGCAAUACCCUAGUGGCGAACGGGUGAGUAACACGUGAGCAACCUGCCCUUUACAACGGGAUACCACUAAGAAAUUAGUGCUAAUACGGUAUAUGACCACACCGAGGCAUCUCGGAGGGGUGAAAGCGAAAGCGGUAAAGGAUGGGCUCGCGUCCAAUUAGCUAGUUGGUGAGAUAACAGCCCACCAAGGCGACGAUUGGUAGCCGACUUGAGAGAGUGAUCGGCCACACUGGAACUGAGACACGGUCCAGACUCCUACGGGAGGCAGCAGGUGGGGAAUAUUGGGCAAUGGAGGAAACUCUUACCCAAGCAAUGCCGCGUGAGUGAAUGAAGGUCUUCGGAUUGUAAAGCUCUUUGAUCGGGGACGAAUAAAUGACGGUACCCGAGGAACAAGCCCCGGCUAACUAUGUGCCAGCCGCCGC